This 644-nucleotide ribosomal RNA is filed under the name uncultured Cellulomonas sp. Its description in RNAcentral is "bacterial SSU rRNA". It matches the Rfam family "Bacterial small subunit ribosomal RNA", at positions 231 to 885 of the family's 1533-position model. The record is from RNAcentral. Lineage: Bacteria; Bacillati; Actinomycetota; Actinomycetes; Micrococcales; Cellulomonadaceae.
UCGCGGCCUAUCAGCUUGUUGGUGGGGUAAUGGCCUACCAAGGCGACGACGGGUAGCCGGCCUGAGAGGGCGAACGGCCACACUGGGACUGAGACACGGCCCAGACUCCUACGGGAGGCAGCAGUGGGGAAUAUUGCGCAAUGGGCGAAAGCCUGACGCAGCGACGCCGCGUGAGGGACGACGGCCUUCGGGUUGUAAACCUCUUUCAGCAGGGAUGAAGCGAAAGUGACAGUACCUGCAGAAGAAGCACCGGCUAACUACGUGCCAGCAGCCGCGGUAAUACGUAGGGUGCAAGCGUUGUCCGGAAUUAUUGGGCGUAAAGAGCUCGUAGGCGGUUUGUCGCGUCGACUGUGAAAACCCGCAGCUCAACUGCGGGCCUGCAGUCGAUACGGGCAGGCUAGAGUUCGGUAGGGGAGACUGGAAUUCCUGGUGUAGCGGUGAAAUGCGCAGAUAUCAGGAGGAACACCGAUGGCGAAGGCAGGUCUCUGGGCCGCAACUGACGCUGAGAAGCGAAAGCAUGGGGAGCGAACAGGAUUAGAUACCCUGGUAGUCCAUGCCGUAAACGUUGGGCACUAGGUGUGGGGCUCAUUCCACGAGUUCCGUGCCGCAGCUAACGCAUUAAGUGCCCCGCCUGGGGAGUACGG